This 57-nucleotide microRNA precursor is filed under the name Mesocricetus auratus (golden hamster). Its description in RNAcentral is "miRNA (ENSMAUG00000001881.1)". Lineage: Eukaryota; Metazoa; Chordata; Mammalia; Rodentia; Cricetidae. The record is from RNAcentral.
UGAGCCAUCUUCCCAGCCCAAGAGAGUGUCGCUCUUGGGGAUGGAGCGAUGGCUCAG